GAAGUCGUAGUUCAGUGGUAGAACCCUCACUUUCCAUGUGGGAGACCUGGGUUCAAUUACCAGCCAAUGCA
This 71-nucleotide transfer RNA is filed under the name Loxodonta africana (African savanna elephant). It matches the Rfam family "tRNA". Rfam says of the family: Transfer RNA (tRNA) molecules are approximately 80 nucleotides in length. Their secondary structure includes four short double-helical elements and three loops (D, anti-codon, and T loops). The record is from Rfam by way of RNAcentral. Lineage: Eukaryota; Metazoa; Chordata; Mammalia; Proboscidea; Elephantidae.